RNAcentral lists this ribosomal RNA (327 nucleotides) under uncultured eukaryote. RNAcentral describes it as "partial 18S ribosomal RNA". It matches the Rfam family "Eukaryotic small subunit ribosomal RNA", at positions 1470 to 1796 of the family's 1831-position model. The record is from RNAcentral.
CCCUUAGACGUUCUGGGCCGCACGCGCGCUACACUGACGAAGGCAACGAGCUUUCCUUUACCGAAAGGUACGGGUAAUCUUUUGAAACUUCGUCGUGCUGGGGAUAGAUCCUUGCAAUUUUUGAUCUUAAACGAGGAAUUCCUAGUAAGCGCAAGUCAUCAACUUGCGUUGAUUACGUCCCUGCCCUUUGUACACACCGCCCGUCGCUACUACUGAUUGGACGUUUAAGCAAGAUUUUUAAACACUGACAGUGUGUAGUUCACGCUAUACUACAGUGAGAAGAAGAAGAUCGAGCUUACUUGUCUAGAGGAAGUAAAAGUCGUAACA